CCUACGGGAGGCAGCAGUGGGGAAUAUUGGGCAAUGGGCGCAAGCCUGACCCAGCAACGCCGCGUGAAGGAAGAAGGCUUUCGGGUUGUAAACUUCUUUUGACAGGGAAGAGCAGAAGACGGUACCUGUCGAAUAAGCCACGGCUAACUACGUGCCAGCAGCCGCGGUAAUACGUAGGUGGCAAGCGUUGUCCGGAUUUACUGGGUGUAAAGGGCGUGUAGGCGGGACUGCAAGUCAGAUGUGAAAACCACGGGCUCAACCUGUAGCCUGCAUUUGAAACUGUAGUUCUUGAGUACUGGAGAGGC
Molecule: ribosomal RNA, 305 nt
Filed under: uncultured bacterium
Lineage: Bacteria
Description: bacterial SSU rRNA
Rfam family: Bacterial small subunit ribosomal RNA
Source: RNAcentral